Molecule: ribosomal RNA, 253 nt
Filed under: uncultured bacterium
Lineage: Bacteria
Description: partial 16S ribosomal RNA
Rfam family: Bacterial small subunit ribosomal RNA
Source: RNAcentral
UACAGAGGGGGCAAGCGUUAUUCGGAAUUAUUGGGCGUAAAGGGCGCGUAGGCGGCUUUUCAAGUGACGGGUGAAAUCCCUCGGCUUAACCGAGGAACUGCCUGUCAGACUGGAAGGCUUGAGACCGGGAGAGGUGAGUGGAAUUCCCAGUGUAGCGGUGAAAUGCGUAGAUAUUGGGAGGAACACCAGUGGCGAAGGCGGCUCACUGGACCGGAACUGACGCUGAGGCGCGAAAGCUAGGGGAGCAAACGGG